Molecule: ribosomal RNA, 253 nt
Filed under: uncultured bacterium
Lineage: Bacteria
Description: partial 16S ribosomal RNA
Rfam family: Bacterial small subunit ribosomal RNA
Source: RNAcentral
GAUGGGCGAUGCAAGCAUUCUCCGGAAUCACUGGGCGUAAAGCGUCUGUAGGUGGUGAUGCAAGUCACUGGUGCAAAAUUCUGGCACAACCGGAGGAAAGCCAGUGAAACUGCAUGACUAGAUGGUGGGAGAGGUAGAAGGAAUUCCAUGAGUAGCGGUGAAAUGCGUAGAUACAGGGAAGAACACCGGAGGCGAAAGCGUUCUACUGGAACACAACUGACACUGAGAGAUGAAAGCUAGUGGAGCGAAUGGG